RNAcentral lists this long non-coding RNA (273 nucleotides) under Homo sapiens (human). RNAcentral describes it as "HSALNT0344645". Lineage: Eukaryota; Metazoa; Chordata; Mammalia; Primates; Hominidae. The record is from RNAcentral.
GACAUAUCACAGACAUGGAUGAAAGGUCAUGUUUCUCAGACAUCAAGUUAAAAACCAAUAGUGACCACAGUCAUGAAAGAACAUUCAGCCUGAGACAAAAGGGGUUAACGCACAGGGAAGAUAACGACGGUGAGACCCGCCACCUGCAGUCCGGAAACAGAAUUUUAACACUGGCCUAAAGGAUGGUGAGAAAUGAACUCCUGGUUGCCGACCAGACUUCCCCUUCUCAUCCCGACGACGCGGGACAUAGGGUAGACGGUCCCAAUGCCGACG